This 906-nucleotide ribosomal RNA is filed under the name Bacillus sp. (in: firmicutes). RNAcentral describes it as "bacterial SSU rRNA". It matches the Rfam family "Bacterial small subunit ribosomal RNA", at positions 60 to 924 of the family's 1533-position model. The record is from RNAcentral. Lineage: Bacteria; Bacillati; Bacillota; Bacilli; Caryophanales; Bacillaceae.
AGUCGAGCGGACAGAAGGGAGCUUGCUCCCGGAUGUUAGCGCGCGGACGGGUGAGUAACACGUGGGUAACCUGCCUGUAAGACUGUGGAUAACUCUCGCGGAAACCGCGAGCUAAUACCGGAUAGUUCCUAUGAACCGCAUGGUGUCAAGGAUGAAAGACGGUUUCUGGCUGAUCACUUACAGAUGGACCCGCGGCGCAUUAACUAGUUGGUGAGGUAACGGCUCACCAAGGCGACGAUGCGUAGCCGACCUGAGAGGGUGAUCGGCCACACUGGGACUGAAACACGGCCCAGACUCCUACGGGAGGCAGCAGUAGGGAAUCUUCCGCAAUGGACGAAAGUCUGACAGGAGACAACGCCGCGUGAGUGAUAGAAGAGUGUUUCGGAUCUGCUAAAGCUCUGUUGUUAGGGAAGAACAAGUGCAAGUAGUAACUGCUUGCACCUUGACAGGUACCUAACCAGAAAGCCACGGCUAACAUAUCGCUGCCACGCAGCCGCGGUAAUACGUAGGUGGCAAGCGUUGUCCGGAAUUAUUGGGCGUAAAGGGCUCGCAUAGCGGUUUCUUAAGUCUGAUAGUGAAAGCCCCCGGCUCAACCGGGGAGGGUCAUUGGAAACUGGGAAACUUGAGUGCGAGAAGAAGAGAGUGGAAUUCCACGUGUAGCGGUGAAAUGCGUAGAGAUGUGGAGGAACACCAGUGGCGAAGCGACUCUCUGGUCUGUAACUGACGCUGAAGAGCGAAAGCGUGGGGAGCGAACAGGAUUAGAUACCCUGGUAGUCCACGCCGUAAACGAUGAGUGCUAAGUGUUAAGGGGUUUCCGCCCCCUUAGUGCUGCAGCUAACGCAUUAAGCACUCCGCCUGGGGAGUACGGUCGCAAGACUGAAACUCAAGGAAUUGACGGGGGCCCGC